AAGACAGGAAAAAGUCAUAGCAAAGCUGAUCGCUGCAAGUUGCUUCCAGUCCCCCCAGGUAUUAAAGUGGAUGAGCUACACACCUUUGAAAAAUGAGAUUAAUCAUGGAAAUAGCACAUGACCCUUAACCAGAGUGGCACUAAAUAGCACUGAAAUACGAUGGGAGCUGAAAGCAAAAGAGUCCAGUUCUAGCAAAUGGCUAUACUCCGAGCUGCGGUUUGUGGCAAAAAUGUGAUGUGUUGGAGAAAAGAGUGACUCAGUAACUCAGCAGUGGUAUAACUUACUCAGCAUGCCCAGCAGUGCAGUGGUGUAGUGCAAACGGACUGCAGGGGAUGGGUGUCCUGAGCUGUGUGAGCUAUGACGGCUGCUACAGCCCUGCAGGUUCUUCACUGGUUGAUAGCAGAAGUGGGGAUGAGCUGCAAAGGCCUCCAUCAGCUCUGUGAAGUGUGGGUUUAGAAGGAAGGAGUGGUUUCAGGUCUGCUGAUAAUGGAAACGCUUCGCCUCCUUCUGGCUUCGCAGCCAGACAAACACAUUAAACUUGCCAGAAAUGUGACAUUCAGAAAUAAAAAAGCAUCAGCCAACCUGGCCAGCUGAGUGACAGCACUCCAGGAAAGCCCAACCAGGCUGAGGAUGCAAGGGAAGAACUUGAAAAAUAACAAGAUCAAGUUUGAUAUUAAAUCUUGGCUUUAGAAAAUUAGUUUGAUAUCUCAUACCCCAGAUUAAAAAACAUAUUAAAAAAAAAUCCAAACAUCUAUUCCAAAUAUGAACAUUUUCCCCUUAUUUUCAGUCCAGACACUGAAUUUUUGGAAACACAUAAGCAUAUGAUUAAAAAUAAAAAAGUAGGACACAUUAGUCACACAUAUAUACUCAUUCUCCAAUUUGAGAGAUGAAAAAGUAAAUAAACCUGUCAGGUAUUAGUUAUCCUUUUGCCUUUCAUUUAUAGCAUACAUAAGAUAGGUUGAAGAGCAUGUAUUUUUAAGACAAAGAUCUCUCUUAGGACUCUUGUUAUCUGAUUCUAGUUAUCUUGAAUAUCAUGCUCAGCAAGAAGAAAAAUAAUACCAUUUCAAGAGAGGAAUGCAAUAAACCUUUUUAUUAGAGAUAUAUUAAAUGUGGGCUACUGUCAUGGGUGGAUUUGGAUUCUUUUUGUAUGUUAUAUUUUAAAUUAAGUUCAGGCCAAACUGAAGUGUUUCUUAGCAGUCAGAUAGCCUACAAUAUUAAUUCUGGCCUCCCAUAUUCAAAGGCAAUAACUUGUUGUUCUUUAAAAGAUGAAAAAGCCAAAGAUACACCAAACAUCAUGUAAACUUAUCAGAAAAAGAUGACCCAGCACCGUCAAAGAAGUUAUUGAAACUGGAGCUUGGGAAAUGAUUUCUAAAAAGCAAGGGCACUUCUAACAGCCCUUGGACCGUCACUGCUUGGUGUCCACCUUGAAAAGGACACAGAAAUUGUUUCAAGUUGUGCCUUGCAAUGGGAUGAUGCCAUGAGGAGCGGGGAGGUGACUGCCAGGACCCUGGUGGUAGAAAACAAAUUUCAGCAGCAAAGUUGGAAACCCGUAGCCACUAGAAGAAGGGGAGAUCUCUAGAGAGAGCAAACGCUGCUGUGUAGAGAAUUUAUUAGCAGCAGGCAUAGACGCCUGUAUCAGCACUUCACCGGUGGAUAAAUCAGUGGGUUUGCUAAUGAUGUUUCAGUUCUCUUGGUUGAAUUGGAUUUCUAAAACAAAAAAGCAGCUGCAGGCUGAAUCGCUUUAUAUGACAAGAGAAUAAUGACUAACCAAUCCUGAACACCCAGGGUUUCUGUAUAUACAGGAUAAUUUAGCUUCCUUUAUUGUUAUUAUUUUAUAUGCAAAUGAAAUUAUCAAUGGCUUUAUCUAAUUACUUCCUGGAUCACAUUUAUUCCCGAGUUUGUGCCUGUUUCUGUGUGAGAGAAAUGUCUUCCUCAUGUUUUAGCCAGGGUUUCACACUACAUCUUAGUCCUGCUGGAGCCUGUGGGAGU
Cygnus olor (mute swan) is the source of this 1989-nucleotide long non-coding RNA. RefSeq lists it as uncharacterized. The record is from RefSeq and is a predicted model, not a curated record. The transcript is spliced from 2 exons. NCBI's taxonomy places the organism in Eukaryota, Metazoa, Chordata, Aves, Anseriformes, Anatidae.